GGUGAGUACCGUCAUUAUCUUCCUCAACAACAGGAGUUUACAAUCCGAAGACCUUCUUCCUCCACGCGGCGUCGCUGCAUCAGGGUUUCCCCCAUUGUGCAAUAUUCCCC
RNAcentral lists this ribosomal RNA (110 nucleotides) under uncultured bacterium. RNAcentral's name for it is "partial 16S ribosomal RNA". The record is from RNAcentral.